Molecule: ribosomal RNA, 2901 nt
Filed under: Klebsiella aerogenes
Lineage: Bacteria; Pseudomonadati; Pseudomonadota; Gammaproteobacteria; Enterobacterales; Enterobacteriaceae
Description: Bacterial large subunit ribosomal RNA
Rfam family: Bacterial large subunit ribosomal RNA
Source: RNAcentral
GUUAAGCGACUAAGCGUACACGGUGGAUGCCCUGGCAGUCAGAGGCGAUGAAGGACGUGCUAAUCUGCGAAAAGCGUCGGUAAGGUGAUAUGAACCGUUACAGCCGGCGAUGUCCGAAUGGGGAAACCCAGUGUGAUUCGUCACACUAUCGUUAACUGAAUACAUAGGUUAACGAGGCGAACCGGGGGAACUGAAACAUCUAAGUACCCCGAGGAAAAGAAAUCAACCGAGAUUCCCCCAGUAGCGGCGAGCGAACGGGGAGCAGCCCAGAGUCUGAAUCAGCUUGUGUGUUAGUGGAACGGUCUGGAAAGUCCGACGGUACAGGGUGAUAGUCCCGUACACCAAAAUGCACAGGCUGUGAACUCGAAGAGUAGGGCGGGACACGUGGUAUCCUGUCUGAAUAUGGGGGGACCAUCCUCCAAGGCUAAAUACUCCUGACUGACCGAUAGUGAACCAGUACCGUGAGGGAAAGGCGAAAAGAACCCCGGCGAGGGGAGUGAAAAAGAACCUGAAACCGUGUACGUACAAGCAGUGGGAGCACCUUCGGGUGUGACUGCGUACCUUUUGUAUAAUGGGUCAGCGACUUAUAUUCUGUAGCAAGGUUAACCGUAUAGGGGAGCCGCAGGGAAACCGAGUCUUAACUGGGCGUUAAGUUGCAGGGUAUAGACCCGAAACCCGGUGAUCUAGCCAUGGGCAGGUUGAAGGUUGGGUAACACUAACUGGAGGACCGAACCGACUAAUGUUGAAAAAUUAGCGGAUGACUUGUGGCUGGGGGUGAAAGGCCAAUCAAACCGGGAGAUAGCUGGUUCUCCCCGAAAGCUAUUUAGGUAGCGCCUCGUGAAUUCAUCUUCGGGGUAGAGCACUGUUUCGGCUAGGGGGUCAUCCCGACUUACCAACCCGAUGCAAACUACGAAUACCGAAGAAUGUUAUCACGGGAGACACACGGCGGGUGCUAACGUCCGUCGUGAAGAGGGAAACAACCCAGACCGCCAGCUAAGGUCCCAAAGUCACAGUUAAGUGGGAAACGAUGUGGGAAGGCACAGACAGCCAGGAUGUUGGCUUAGAAGCAGCCAUCAUUUAAAGAAAGCGUAAUAGCUCACUGGUCGAGUCGGCCUGCGCGGAAGAUGUAACGGGGCUAAACUGUGCACCGAAGCUGCGGCAGCGACACUAUGUGUUGUUGGGUAGGGGAGCGUUCUGUAAGCCUGCGAAGGUGGCCUGUGAGGGUUGCUGGAGGUAUCAGAAGUGCGAAUGCUGACAUAAGUAACGAUAAUGCGGGUGAAAAGCCCGCACGCCGGAAGACCAAGGGUUCCUGUCCAACGUUAAUCGGGGCAGGGUGAGUCGACCCCUAAGGCGAGGCCGAAAGGCGUAGUCGAUGGGAAACAGGUUAAUAUUCCUGUACUUGGUGUUACUGCGAAGGGGGGACGGAGAAGGCUAUGUUAGCCGGGCGACGGUUGUCCCGGUUUAAGCAUGUAGGCGGAGGUUCCAGGUAAAUCCGGUACCUUUUUAACGCUGAGGUGUGAUGACGAGGCACUACGGUGCUGAAGUAACAAAUGCCCUGCUUCCAGGAAAAGCCUCUAAGCAUCAGGUAACAUUGAAUCGUACCCCAAACCGACACAGGUGGUCAGGUAGAGAAUACCAAGGCGCUUGAGAGAACUCGGGUGAAGGAACUAGGCAAAAUGGUGCCGUAACUUCGGGAGAAGGCACGCUGAUAUGUAGGUGAAGCCCCUGCGGGUGGAGCUGAAAUCAGUCGAAGAUACCAGCUGGCUGCAACUGUUUAUUAAAAACACAGCACUGUGCAAACACGAAAGUGGACGUAUACGGUGUGACGCCUGCCCGGUGCCGGAAGGUUAAUUGAUGGGGUUAUCCGUAAGGAGAAGCUCUUGAUCGAAGCCCCGGUAAACGGCGGCCGUAACUAUAACGGUCCUAAGGUAGCGAAAUUCCUUGUCGGGUAAGUUCCGACCUGCACGAAUGGCGUAAUGAUGGCCAGGCUGUCUCCACCCGAGACUCAGUGAAAUUGAACUCGCUGUGAAGAUGCAGUGUACCCGCGGCAAGACGGAAAGACCCCGUGAACCUUUACUAUAGCUUGACACUGAACAUUGAGCCUUGAUGUGUAGGAUAGGUGGGAGGCUUUGAAGCGUGGACGCCAGUCUGCGUGGAGCCAACCUUGAAAUACCACCCUUUAAUGUUUGAUGUUCUAACGUUGGCCCCUUAUCGGGGUUGCGGACAGUGUCUGGUGGGUAGUUUGACUGGGGCGGUCUCCUCCCAAAGAGUAACGGAGGAGCACGAAGGUUAGCUAAUCCUGGUCGGACAUCAGGAGGUUAGUGCAAUGGCAUAAGCUAGCUUGACUGCGAGCGUGACGGCGCGAGCAGGUGCGAAAGCAGGUCAUAGUGAUCCGGUGGUUCUGAAUGGAAGGGCCAUCGCUCAACGGAUAAAAGGUACUCCGGGGAUAACAGGCUGAUACCGCCCAAGAGUUCAUAUCGACGGCGGUGUUUGGCACCUCGAUGUCGGCUCAUCACAUCCUGGGGCUGAAGUAGGUCCCAAGGGUAUGGCUGUUCGCCAUUUAAAGUGGUACGCGAGCUGGGUUUAGAACGUCGUGAGACAGUUCGGUCCCUAUCUGCCGUGGGCGCUGGAGAAUUGAGGGGGGCUGCUCCUAGUACGAGAGGACCGGAGUGGACGCAUCACUGGUGUUCGGGUUGUCAUGCCAAUGGCAUUGCCCGGUAGCUAAAUGCGGAAGAGAUAAGUGCUGAAAGCAUCUAAGCACGAAACUUGCCCCGAGAUGAGUUCUCCCUGAGACUUUAAGUCUCCUGAAGGAACGUUAAAGACGAUGACGUUGAUAGGUCGGGUGUGUAAGCGUAGCGAUACGUUGAGCUAACCGAUACUAAUGAACCGUGAGGCUUAACC